CUUAGCCGGUGUGUUUAUUUUUUCCAGUUGUUCUUUCAUAUUCGAUGCCAGUUGGGCAGAGUGCUGAUGGCAAAGUACACUACAAAGACACGUCUUAUAAUGGAGUAAUAACCAACGACUUUUACCGCAAGGAUGGAACUGGAAUACUUACAGAUGGCAAGUUUGGUCCUACUGACGCAAAAGAACUCUCAGGCAAAGGAUGGGUGGGCUGGUCUUCCACGCUCACUCAAUCAUCAUACAUCGCCAUCACAUUUGAGUUUUCUGAAAUGAGAAAAUUUAAAGAUAUUAUACUCACAGUAAACGUUGACAAGAAAAAUGGCAAUGCCGUAUUUGACAGAUCGCGAAUACUUUUUGCUUCGACCAAAGACGGUUUCUCUGCCAUGUCGUUUCUUCAAUACUGUCCAAAAAAAUUUUCAUACAACGAUGAUCCAUACAUUGCAAAUGUAACUUUGUCACUUUGUGACAAUACAGCAAGGUUUAUAAAGGUCCAAUUGUAUUUUGG
Non-coding RNA from Paramuricea clavata, 502 nucleotides. The record is from the annotation of a GenBank genome assembly. NCBI's taxonomy places the organism in Eukaryota, Metazoa, Cnidaria, Anthozoa, Malacalcyonacea, Plexauridae.